This 255-nucleotide ribosomal RNA is filed under the name uncultured bacterium. RNAcentral's name for it is "partial 16S ribosomal RNA". It matches the Rfam family "Bacterial small subunit ribosomal RNA", at positions 524 to 776 of the family's 1533-position model. The record is from RNAcentral.
UACGGGGGGAGCAAGCGUUGUUCGGAUUUACUGGGCGUAAAGGGCGCGUAGGCGGCCACCGCAAGUCGACUGUGAAAACCCGUGGCUCAACCAUGUGGUCUGCAGUCGAUACGGGCAGGCUAGAAUUCGGUAGGGGAGACUGGAAUUCCUGGUGUAGCGGUGAAAUGCGCAGAUAUCAGGAGGAACACCGGUGGCGAAGGCGGGUCUCUGGGCCGAUAUUGACGCUGAGGAGCGAAAGCGUGGGGAGCGAACAGG